CCUUCCUCUAUUGUUUCCAGAGCAUCACAUGUCAACACAUAGAUAUUUACCGGUAUGGACAUACCACAGGUAGAGGAAUAACACACGCACAGUACUAACAGAAGUUGCGGUAUAUGUGAAAUCCUCCCAAUGUGCGGUCAUGCUCACAGUUUGAAUUAAUGAAAGGCUAAUAUAAAGCGGGAGGCGUUUAGAGCGCGAAAACAUAAUGAAAUCAGCCCUAAGAAAUAUUUAAUAAUGCUCGAAAAUAAAAUGCUAAAACAACAAAAUAUGGAGUCAUAUUCAUAGUACACAGAUAAUUACUUAAAGCGCUUAUUCUGUUUAACGUCGUUAUGAACUGCUAAGAAAAUAUUAAAGUUUUGAGAAAGUGUCGGUACAGAAAGGCCGAAGAAUAGCAAAGAAGAACGUUUAUUUCUAUGCAUAGUAACGACAGAUAAAGUGGACAUUUUAAUUUUAAGAUGUGUUUGUUAAGGGAUUGCAGGAAUAUGAGGAGUCAUUUGUUUUAUUAUAAAAAUCUAAAUUUAAAUUAAAUUUAAUUUAAAUAAAACUUUUUUCGACCCUUUGUGUGCAUUUGUAGUAUGUGUGUGUGCAUGGGUGUAUCUCACCUGCCCUAUUGUCUGAUCAUGUGACUCUCAGAUCGUUAACACACACGCGCACGCAGCGUGCGUUAUCCCUGACAGCGCCCCGGCGACGCUCCUGCUUGUCUCCCUUGUGUGACGAGAGUAACGCGCGCGCGUCCCCUGGCAACAGCCAGUCGCCGUGAGAAUGGAACAGCCGGCAGACGAUUUCGGCGGCCAUUUAACCGCGCGUCGGCUGCACCUCAGACAGCGGUCUGCCUCGAGUGCCCGAGCAACAGAUACGACUGCACGAUGAGGCGACCUUAGUCUCAGGCGAUGUUCUUGUCUUCCUUGGCAGUAAUGUGGCCUGGGAUUGAAUAGUGCUGACGUAUUGGAUGAGACAUCUUAGAGAAAGCCACGUGGUGUGUCUGUGUCCAGCGGUCGUUCUGGAGGGAAUGCUUUUCAAAUAAUCGUCUGAAUGAAGAGUGCCAACAAGUGUGCGCAGUCUUGACACUUUUGCUUUGAGGUUAACCCCUUGUUGUGAUGAUUUCCGUUAUCCCUGAUUGAAUAUUAGUGAUUCAUCGAAGUCAUUCACUCGGCUUUCUGCUGUCCCAGAAGGAUUUGUACCCUACGAGACAAUUUAGGCAAGAUCCACAGAGAUAAGAGCUUGGAUAGUCUUCAGUUUGAACCGUUUCCAAGACAACGCGCCAGGAAGACGACAAGCCGUGGUCAGCCUUCUUGUGAGAAGGGGAGAAACAUCAGCAACACUCUACACUCCCCCUCCCUACCACCCCGAAUGUGUGGCCUUCGCGAGCGCGCACUCAGAUGCUGUGAGGAGUGUACGCCCUUUCUUGGCACUUUCGGACUUAUCAAAGAGAGCAUCUGAGAAUUGUCCUCUCCUGGAACUGCUAACGGUCGAGUGAUGGCGCCCACACAUUCCUGCUACCGCUACAGCAUGAGUGUUUAUGGGGUAUCGGAGGGGCUGAGAUGUUCAUGUGGUUGUUUGCAGGGAACUUCUCUCGGGGAAAUGAUGAAGUCUGGUCAGACGAAAUGACCAACACAGCGACAGAGGGCGCGGAAGCACCGCGAGAAUCAGCGUGAAGAGCAGUUGAGAAGUUCAAUUUGCAGUCUUCCUCCUCCUCGCUCAAGGUCUUCCUGUUGCAGCAGCUUCCCAGACCUUUACGAUGUCGAGCGAGGACCGUGAGGAUGUUGUCAAGUACUGCUACUUAACCCCGCGCCAUUAUGUGCCCGUCAAUAAACAAACACAACAAGUUGUUUACCUUUGAAUGUGACGAUAGUGUGGUGUCUGCUUAAUGGGGCUUACGGAGUGGUAUAACAGUUAGUUUCUA
Molecule: long non-coding RNA, 1903 nt
Organism: Pomacea canaliculata
Lineage: Eukaryota; Metazoa; Mollusca; Gastropoda; Architaenioglossa; Ampullariidae
Exons: 5
Source: RefSeq, a predicted model, not a curated record